GUCUUAGUCCCUAGAUUUUUUGUGAAACUGACUUUAGAAAUUUGAUAUGAAUUAUGGUUUAUGCAAUAUAUUGUAUGACUUAAAAAAUGUAUAGCUUAUUUGUUGCUGCUUUGAUCUGACACUAGCAUUAUUGUUGAAAUAUAACAUUUUGGUUGUUCUAGUGAUAAAUAUUGGAAAUGUGAAGCUCCUUCACUGUAGUUACAGUGCCUGGUGGAAAUAAUUAUGCCUGAUUGGUUCCUGGUCCUUGAUGGACCUUUUUCAGAGGCAGAAUGAUGAGGUGUUUUUUAGGCUGAUUUAUAGUGUUUUAAAUUACAUGUAUUAUCCAUUUCAGAAAAAAAAGCAAAUAGUGAUAGAAUUAUCUGUUCUCCUAUUUUCAUAAUUGAUUGACUGAUGAUUACUUUAUGCCACAUCAGCACCCUCCUAUUGUAAGUGCUAUAUGCCACAUCAGCACCCUCCUAUUGUAAGUGCUAUAUGCCACAUCAGCACCCCCCCUAUUGUAAGUGCUAUAUGCCACAUCAGCACCCUCCUAUUGUAAAGUGCUAUAGCCCAUCAGCACCCUCCUAUUGUAAGUGCUAUAUGCCACAUCAGCACCCUCCUAUUGUAAGUGCUAUAUGCCACAUCAGCACCCUCCUAUUGUAAGUGCUAUAUGCCACAUCAGCACCCUCCUAUUGUAAGUGCUAUAUGCCACAUCAGCACCAUCCUAUUGUAAGUGCUAUAUGUUUUCUGUAUUCUGUUUCUGAUAUAAAUAAGUGGGUUGAAAUAUUUUUUUUUAAAACUUCUGAAAAUAAUUCAUUGGUUCAAUUAAGGAGGGAAUGAAUACACCUUGUCGCUAUUUCUGGAUAUCACACAGGUUUCCGUAAAAUUUUGACGUCAUAAAACGAAUCAUCUGACGCCACAAUGGAAAAGUGAUUGUUGUAUGCAUCAAAAGUUCAAGCGGCCGGGUCAGCCGGGAUUAGCGAUAAGGUGUAUGCUUUUUAUACGACCGCAAAAUUUGAAAAAUUUUUCGUCGUAUAUUGCUAUCACGUUGGCGUCGUCGUCGUCGUCGUCCGAAUACUUUUAGUUUUCGCACUGUAACUUUAGUAAAAGUGAAUAGAAAUCUAUGAAAUUUUAACACAAGGUUUAUGACCACAAAAGGAAGGUUGGGAUUGAUUUUGGGAGUUUUGGUCCCAACAUUUUAGGAAUUAGGGGCCAAAAAGGGCCCAAAUAAGCAUUUCUUGGUUUUCGCACUAUAACUUUAGUUGAAGUUAAUAGAAAUCUAUGAAAUUUUGACACAAGGUUUAUGACCACAAAAGAAAGGUUGGGAUUGAUUUUGGGAGUUUUGGUUCCAACAGUUUAGGAAUUAGGGGCCAAAAAAGGGCCCAAAUAAGCAUUAUUCUUGGUUUUUGCACAAUAACUUUAGUUUAAGUAAAUAGAAAUCAAUGAAAUUUAAACACAAUGUUUAUGACCACAAAAGGAAGG
Molecule: long non-coding RNA, 1458 nt
Filed under: Mytilus galloprovincialis (Mediterranean mussel)
Lineage: Eukaryota; Metazoa; Mollusca; Bivalvia; Mytilida; Mytilidae
Source: RNAcentral